RNAcentral lists this transfer RNA (651 nucleotides) under uncultured Synechococcus sp. Its description in RNAcentral is "16S-23S ribosomal RNA intergenic spacer". The stretch from base 255 to 327 matches the Rfam family "tRNA". The record is from RNAcentral. Lineage: Bacteria; Bacillati; Cyanobacteriota; Cyanophyceae; Synechococcales; Synechococcaceae.
AGGGAGACAAAACUGAUUUUGAUGUCUGAUUAAAAUUAUUAGGCCUUAAUCCUGUCACCUUAGGUCGAUCGGUACCUCAGAUUGAGAACUAUAAAAUGAGAUUAUUCUUAUAUUUUGUUUUCGGUUUCAGUUCCUAAACUUGUCUAGGUCACACCCAACAAACUUUCUCCUGGGCUAUUAGCUCAGGCGGUUAGAGCGCACCCCUGAUAAGGGUGAGGUCCCUGGUUCAAGUCCAGGAUGGCCCAUUCGUUGUUGGGGGUAUAGCUCAGUUGGUAGAGCGCCUGCUUUGCAAGCAGGAUGUCAGCGGUUCGAGUCCGCUUACCUCCACUGAUCAACUACCUGAUAACUCAAUUUGGAGAUUGUCAUUUGGUUAAUGUGAUUUAGAUGUUGUUCAUCUGAAUGAACCUAGCUUCCUAUCAACCAUUGAUUAUUUCCUUAGGCUGAUAAGACGCUGGGCUCACUGAUAUUUAUUUGAAUGUCAGUUUGAUUCAGUAGAACCUUGACAACUGCAUAGGAAAAUCUAGAAAAACAAAGCAUCUCAUAGAUACAUAGAAACUUAUAUUCAUAAAUUCUGAAUAUCAAUUUUCUUUGUUCAAUUCUUGAGUUAGAGCAUAAUUAGUUUUGCAUUUAAUCCAUGUAAAACAUUUAAUU